This 301-nucleotide ribosomal RNA is filed under the name uncultured bacterium. RNAcentral describes it as "partial 16S ribosomal RNA". It matches the Rfam family "Bacterial small subunit ribosomal RNA", at positions 509 to 807 of the family's 1533-position model. The record is from RNAcentral.
CAGCAGCCGCGGUAAUACAGAGGGUGCGUGCGUUAAUCGGAUUUACUGGGCGUAAAGCGUGCGUAAGCGGCUUCUUAAGUCGGAUGUGAAAUCCCUGAGCUUAACUUAGGAAUUGCAUUUGAUACUGGGAAGCUAGAGUAUGGGAGAGGAUGGUAGAAUUCCAGGUGUAGCGGUGAAAUGCGUAGAGAUCUGGAGGAAUACCGAUGGCGAAGGCAGCCAUCUGGCCUAAUACUGACGCUGAGGUACGAAAGCAUGGGGAGCAAACAGGAUUAGAUACCCGUGUAGUCCCUGUCUCUUAUAC